This 508-nucleotide long non-coding RNA is filed under the name Cyanistes caeruleus (blue tit). RNAcentral describes it as "lncRNA (ENSCCEG00000003166.1)". Lineage: Eukaryota; Metazoa; Chordata; Aves; Passeriformes; Paridae. The record is from RNAcentral.
CUAGCACGUGUGAGCAUGGAAUUUCUAUUACUGCCCUCUUUAACUUAAAGGGGUUUCUUUUUCUAGCAGAGCCAGGAAUGGAUCCACACACUGUACGAGGGAAAGCUGAAGCUGUAUGUUCUGGAUUUUCUCCUAGUAGUUCUUUACAGCUUGAAGUUGAAAAACUGGUCCUUAUCUCCUGAGCUCUAUCAGGAGUGGCAUCAGUGUCAUUUUCAUCAGGAACACACCUUCUGGAAUGGGAAUGCUGCCCUGCAGGUGCCAAAACACAGGUGUUUAAGGACAUCUGAGAUGCCCUGGGGAUCCCACCUGGCCUCUCUCUGCUGAUCCAAAAGGACACAAAAUCCUUUAGAUGCUAUCCCAGCUACCCCAAAGCAUUUCCAGUGACACAGAGGUUACUCCUAAAGGUUUGGGGUUUUAUUUUGCUUUCUUUUUUUCAUUUUGGAUGUCAUUAAUUGGUGUUUGAAUUAAACCAGUGAUGUGCAUGUAGCUCCAGGUGUUUUAUUGUCCA